AAAAAAACAAUCCUUAUGUUCCCGUGUCCAACAAUUUAACCGUCUCUCUUAUUUAAAAAAAUUAUAAAAAAAAUUUAAAGAACAACUCAUGCAUAAAGUAUUAAUCAUGUUUUAUCAUUUAACAACAAUAAAAAUACUAAUUAUAAAAAAAUUCAUAUAAGAUAGACAGUCAAAAGUUGGAUACGAAAACCUAGUAUUUAUC
Non-coding RNA from Oryza barthii, 202 nucleotides. The record is from Rfam. Lineage: Eukaryota; Viridiplantae; Streptophyta; Magnoliopsida; Poales; Poaceae.